GACAGAGGGUGCUAGCGUUGUUCGGAAUUACUGGGCGUAAAGGGCGCGUAGGCGGUCCGCUAAGUUCGGCGUGAAAUCCCCUGGCUCAACUGGGGAACUGCGUUGGAUACUGGUGGACUCGAGUACCGGAGAGGAGAGUGGAAUUCCUGGUGUAGCGGUGAAAUGCGUAGAUAUCAGGAGGAACACCGGUGGCGAAGGCGGCUCUCUGGACGGAUACUGACGCUGAGGCGCGAAAGCGUGGGGAUCAAACAGG
Molecule: ribosomal RNA, 253 nt
Filed under: uncultured bacterium
Lineage: Bacteria
Description: partial 16S ribosomal RNA
Rfam family: Bacterial small subunit ribosomal RNA
Source: RNAcentral